Molecule: ribosomal RNA, 359 nt
Filed under: uncultured bacterium
Lineage: Bacteria
Description: bacterial SSU rRNA
Rfam family: Bacterial small subunit ribosomal RNA
Source: RNAcentral
AACGAACGCUGGCGGCAGGCCUAACACAUGCAAGUCGAACGCUCCGCAAGGGGAGUGGCGCACGGGUGAGUAACACGUGGGAACCUACCUUCUGGUACGGAACAACCAAGGGAAACUUUGGCUAAGACCGUAUACGACCUCCGGGUGAAAGAUUGAUCGCCGGAAGAGGGGCCCGCGUCCGAUUAGGUAGUUGGUGAGGUAACGGCUCACCAAGCCUUCGAUCGGUAGCUGGUCUGAGAGGAUCGACCAGCCACACUGGGACUGAGACACGGCCCAGACCUCCUACGGGAGGCAGCAGGUGGGGAAUAUUGGACAAUGGGCGCAAGCCUGAUCCAGCCAUGCCGCGUGAGUGAUGAAGG